GAUGAAGAACGCAGCGAAAUGCGAUAAGUAAUGCGAAUUGCAGAAUUCAGUGAGUCAUCGAAUCUUUGAACGCACAUUGCGCCCUGUGGUAUUCCGCAGGGCAUGCCUGUUCGAGUGUCAUUUCAACCCUCAAGCCUCGCUUGGUGUUGGGCCCUGCCCGCCGCGGCCGGCCCUAAAGAUAGUGGCGGCGCCGCCUGGCCCUCAGCGUAGUACAGCUCUCGCUCCAGGGUCCGGCGGCAGCCUGCCAGAACCCCCCAACUCUGUGGUUGACCUCGGAUCAGGUAGGGAUACCCGCUGAACUUAAGCAUAUCAAUAAGCGGAGGA
This 324-nucleotide unclassified non-coding RNA is filed under the name soil metagenome. RNAcentral's name for it is "partial contains 5.8S ribosomal RNA, internal transcribed spacer 2, and large subunit ribosomal RNA". The stretch from base 1 to 120 matches the Rfam family "5.8S ribosomal RNA", at positions 35 to 154 of the family's 154-position model. The record is from RNAcentral.